Molecule: ribosomal RNA, 254 nt
Filed under: uncultured bacterium
Lineage: Bacteria
Description: partial 16S ribosomal RNA
Rfam family: Bacterial small subunit ribosomal RNA
Source: RNAcentral
UACGUAGGGUGCGAGCGUUGUCCGGAAUUAUUGGGCGUAAAGAGCUCGUAGGCGGUGUGUCACGUCGGCCGUGAAAACCUGCAGCUUAACUGUGGGCGUGCGGUCGAUACGGGCAUCACUGGAGUUCGGCAGGGGAGACUGGAAUUCCUGGUGUAGCGGUGAAAUGCGCAGAUAUCAGGAGGAACACCGGUGGCGAAGGCGGGUCUCUGGGCCGAUAUUGACGCUGAGGAGCGAAAGCGUGGGGAGCAAACAGG